RNAcentral lists this ribosomal RNA (487 nucleotides) under uncultured bacterium. RNAcentral's name for it is "partial 16S ribosomal RNA". It matches the Rfam family "Bacterial small subunit ribosomal RNA", at positions 28 to 523 of the family's 1533-position model. The record is from RNAcentral.
GACGAACGCUGGCGGCGUGCUUAACACAUGCAAGUCGAACGGUGAAGGUGGGAGCUUGCUCCUGCUGGAUCAGUGGCGAACGGGUGAGUAACACGUGAGUAACCUGCCCUUGACUCUGGGAUAAGCGUUGGAAACGACGUCUAAUACCGGAUACGAGCUUCAGCCGCAUGGCUAGGAGUUGGAAAGAUUUUUCGGUCAAGGAUGGACUCGCGGCCUAUCAGCUUGUUGGUGAGGUAAUGGCUCACCAAGGCGACGACGGGUAGCCGGCCUGAGAGGGUGACCGGCCACACUGGGACUGAGACACGGCCCAGACUCCUACGGGAGGCAGCAGUGGGGAAUAUUGCACAAUGGGCGCAAGCCUGAUGCAGCAACGCCGCGGGAGGGACGACGGCCUUCGGGUUGUAAACCUCUUUUAGCAGGGAAGAAGCGCAAGUGACGGUACCUGCAGAAAAAGCACCGGCUAACUACGUGCCAGCAGCCGCCGUAA